This 497-nucleotide ribosomal RNA is filed under the name uncultured bacterium. RNAcentral's name for it is "partial 16S ribosomal RNA". It matches the Rfam family "Bacterial small subunit ribosomal RNA", at positions 28 to 507 of the family's 1533-position model. The record is from RNAcentral.
GAUGAACGCUGGCGGCGUGCCUAAUACAUGCAAGUCGAGCGAACAGACGAGGAGCUUGCUCCUCUGACGUUAGCGGCGGACGGGUGAGUAACACGUGGAUAACCUACCUAUAAGACUGGGAUAACUUCGUGAAACCGGAGCUAAUACCGGAUAAUAUAUUGAACCGCAUGGUUCAAUAGUGAAAGACGGUUUUGCUGUCACUUAUAGAUGGAUCCGCGCCGCAUUAGCUAGUUGGUAAGGUAACGGCUUACCAAGGCAACGAUGCGUAGCCGACCUGAGAGGGUGAUCGGCCACACUGGAACUGAGACACGGUCCAGACUCCUACGGGAGGCAGCAGUAGGGAAUCUUCCGCAAUGGGCGAAAGCUUGACGGAGCAACGCCGCGUGAGUGAUGAAGGUCUUCGGAUCGUAAAACGCUGUUAUUAGGGAAGAACAAAUGUGUAAGUAACUAUGCACGUCUUGACGGUACCUAAUCAGAAAGCCACGGCUAACUACGUG